Molecule: ribosomal RNA, 268 nt
Filed under: uncultured soil bacterium
Lineage: Bacteria
Description: partial 16S ribosomal RNA
Rfam family: Bacterial small subunit ribosomal RNA
Source: RNAcentral
AGAAUCAACGCUGGCGGCGUGCCUAACACAUGCAAGUCGAACGCGAAAGGGGAGCAAUCCCUGAUUAGAGUGGCAAACGGGUGAGUAACACGUGGGUGACCUGCCUUCGAGUGGGGGAUAACCUUCCGAAAGGAGGGCUAAUACCGCAUGACAUACCGUGUUUGGAUACACGGAUAUCAAAGCCGGGGAUCGCAAGACCUGGCGCUUGGAGAGGGGCCCGCGUCCGAUUAGCUAGUUGGUGAGGUAACGGCUCACCAAGGCUCCGAUC